UGCAAUGAUGCUGUAAUUUGCGUCUGAUGGUGCAGUGUGCAGACAGUUGCCUGCUGUCAAUUAAUGUCACUGGCUCUCAUUGAAGAAGUUUUAAACUGAGCA
This is a non-coding RNA of Octopus bimaculoides (California two-spot octopus), 102 nucleotides long. The record is from Rfam. NCBI's taxonomy places the organism in Eukaryota, Metazoa, Mollusca, Cephalopoda, Octopoda, Octopodidae.